GCACUGCUGACGAGUCGCGCGAUAGGACGAAACGGCCGUCCGGUGC
This 46-nucleotide non-coding RNA is filed under the name Schistosoma mattheei. Lineage: Eukaryota; Metazoa; Platyhelminthes; Trematoda; Strigeidida; Schistosomatidae. The record is from RNAcentral.